RNAcentral lists this transfer RNA (73 nucleotides) under Camelus bactrianus (Bactrian camel). It matches the Rfam family "tRNA". Rfam says of the family: Transfer RNA (tRNA) molecules are approximately 80 nucleotides in length. Their secondary structure includes four short double-helical elements and three loops (D, anti-codon, and T loops). Further hydrogen bonds mediate the characteristic L-shaped molecular structure. tRNAs have two regions of fundamental functional importance: the anti-codon, which is responsible for specific mRNA codon recognition, and the 3' end, to which the tRNAs corresponding amino acid is attached (by aminoacyl-tRNA synthetases). tRNAs cope with the degeneracy of the genetic code in two manners: having more than one tRNA (with a specific anti-codon) for a particular amino acid; and 'wobble' base-pairing, i.e. permitting non-standard base-pairing at the 3rd anti-codon position. The record is from Rfam by way of RNAcentral. RNAcentral also lists the same sequence under 1 other name. Lineage: Eukaryota; Metazoa; Chordata; Mammalia; Artiodactyla; Camelidae.
GAGGGCAUAGCUCAAGUGUUAGAGCACAUGCUUAGCAUGCAUGAGGUCCUGGGUUCAAUCCCCAGUACCCACU